This 442-nucleotide ribosomal RNA is filed under the name uncultured bacterium. RNAcentral's name for it is "bacterial SSU rRNA". It matches the Rfam family "Bacterial small subunit ribosomal RNA", at positions 31 to 507 of the family's 1533-position model. The record is from RNAcentral.
GUACGCUGGCGGCGUGCCUAACACAUGCAAGUCGAACGGUUCUAAGCGCGAGCUUAGGAUAGUGGCGAACGGGUGAGUAAAAGGUAGGAAUCUACCCCUUGGACGGAGAUAGCUACUGGAAACGGUAGGUAAACUUCGAUAAGCCCGAGAGGGGAAAGUGGUGAGACAGCCGAGGGAUGAGCCUACUCUCCAUCAGGUAGUUGGUGAGAUAAAAGCUUACCAAGCCGAUGACGGAUAACCGGUGUGAGAGCAUGAACGGCCACACUGGAACUGAGACACGGUCCAGACUCCUACGGGAGGCAGCAGUGGGGAAUAUUGCACAAUGGGGGAAACCCUGAUGCAGCGACGCCGCGUGAGUGAAGAAGGUCUUCGGAUCGUAAAACUCUGUCCUUGGUGAAGAAUAAUGACGGUAGCCAAGGAGGAAGCCCCGGCUAACUACGUG